Molecule: ribosomal RNA, 153 nt
Filed under: Barleria lupulina
Lineage: Eukaryota; Viridiplantae; Streptophyta; Magnoliopsida; Lamiales; Acanthaceae
Description: 5.8S ribosomal RNA
Source: RNAcentral
AAUCCCGUGAACCAUCGAGUCUUUGAACGCAAGUUGCGCCGAGGCCCUCGGGCCGAGGGCACGCCUGCCUGGGCGUCACGCAUCGCGUCGCCCCCCGCCCCCGCGGGGAGGGCGGAGAAUGGCCUCCCGUGCGCCCCGGCGCGCGGCCGGCCC